Molecule: long non-coding RNA, 1361 nt
Filed under: Equus caballus (horse)
Lineage: Eukaryota; Metazoa; Chordata; Mammalia; Perissodactyla; Equidae
Description: lncRNA (ENSECAG00000048647.1)
Source: RNAcentral
CAUAUAUAGUCAAUUGAUUUGCAACAAUGGCAGCAAGGCUAUUCAGUGAGAAAGAAUAGCAUUUGACAAAUUGUGCUGGAACAAUGGGAUAUCCUUAUGGAAAUAAAGAACAGCAACCUUACUUCACACCACCAUAAAAUAAUUAAUUCAAGGGGCUGGCCCAGUGGCACAGUGGAUAAGUUUGCACGCUCUGCUUCAGCAGCAUGGGGUUUGCUGGUUUGGAUCCCGGCUCAGACCUACAUACCGCUUGUCAAGCCAUGCUGUGGCAGGCGUGCCACAUAGAAAGUAGAGGAACAUGGGCAUGGAUGUUAGCUCAGGGCCAGUCUUCCUCAGCAAAAAAGAAGAGGAUUGGCAGCAGAUGUUAGCUCAGGGCUAAUCUUUCUCAAAAGAAAAAAAAAAGAAAAAAUUAACACAAAAUGGAUCACAUGUCUAAAUGUAAAAAAUAAAAGAUAAGACUGCAAAACUUCUAGAAGAAAACAGGAGAGAAUACCUAUGUGACAUUGCGAUGUGCAAAAAUUUCUUAGCUAGACCACAAAGACAAUUUGUGAAAGAUAAAAAAUUAAUAAAACAUUUUUCUCUUGGAACGAUACCAUCAAAAAAUAAAAAGGCAAGUCAGACUGGAAACAAAUAUUCACACAUAUUAGGCAAAGAACUCUAAUCCAUAAUAUGUAGAGAACAUUUAUAAUUCAAUAAGAAUAUAAUAAACUUAAUUGAAAAAUAAGCAAAAGAUUUGAGAAAACACUUCAUAAAAGAUUUAUGAGUGGCCAAGGUGCUCAAGUCAUUAAUUAUCAUGGAAACUCAAAAUAAACCACAAUUAGAUACAUACUCAUUAGAAUGGUGAAAAUUAAAAAGAUUGAUAAUACCCAGAGGUGGCAAGGAUGUAGAAAUCUGAAGUUCUCAUACAUUGUUGAUGGGGUUGUACACAGCACAAGUAGUUUGAGAGCCGUUUGACAGUUUAUAACAAAAUUAAACAUAUACUUCUCAUAUGACUCAUCCAUUCUACUCCAAGGCAUUUGCUCAAAAGAAAUAAAUUAUGUGUCUACACAAAGAUUUGUAUCCAAAUGUUCGCAGCAGCUUUAUUUACAAUCGCCCAAACUGGCAACAUCCAAAUGCUCAUCAGCUGGUGAAUAUAUAAAGACGUUGUGCUAAAUCCAUACCAUGAAAUACUAUUCAGCAAUAAAAUGGAAUCAACUACUGCUAUAUACAACAACACGUGUGGACCUUAAAAUCGUGCCGAGUGAAAGAUACCAGGCAGAAUAAUGGCUCUAUGCCCCGGUCCCUGGAAUUUGGGAAAAUGUUACCUUAUAUGGCUAAAAGCACUUUGCAGAUGUUUUUAAGUUAAGCAUUUUGAGAUGGAGAGA